UACGUAGGGUGCAAGCGUUAAUCGGAAUUACUGGGCGUAAAGCGUGCGCAGGCGGUUUUGUAAGACUGUCGUGAAAUCCCCGGGCUUAACCUGGGAAUGGCGAUGGUGACUGCAAGGCUAGAGUUUGGCAGAGGGGGGUAGAAUUCCACGUGUAGCAGUGAAAUGCGUAGAGAUGUGGAGGAACACCGAUGGCGAAGGCAGCCCCCUGGGUCAAAACUGACGCUGAGGAGCGAAAGCGUGGGGAGCGAACAGG
Molecule: ribosomal RNA, 253 nt
Filed under: uncultured bacterium
Lineage: Bacteria
Description: partial 16S ribosomal RNA
Rfam family: Bacterial small subunit ribosomal RNA
Source: RNAcentral